Molecule: ribosomal RNA, 462 nt
Filed under: uncultured bacterium
Lineage: Bacteria
Description: bacterial SSU rRNA
Rfam family: Bacterial small subunit ribosomal RNA
Source: RNAcentral
CGAACGCUGGCGGCGUGCUUAACACAUGCAAGUCGAACGGUGAACUCCGCUUGCGGGGGGAUCAGUGGCGAACGGGUGAGUAACACGUGGGCAACCUGCCCUCAGCUCUGGGAUAACUCCAAGAAAUUGGGGCUAAUACUGGAUAUGACCGCUGACCGCAUGGUCUGGUGGUGGAAAGAUUUAUCGGCUGGGGAUGGGCCCGCGGCCUAUCAGCUUGUUGGUGGGGUAGUGGCCUACCAAGGCGACGACGGGUAGCCGGCCUGAGAGGGUGACCGGCCACACUGGGACUGAGACACGGCCCAGACUCCUACGGGAGGCAGCAGUGGGGAAUAUUGCGCAAUGGGCGAAAGCCUGACGCAGCGACGCCGCGUGGGGGAUGACGGCCUUCGGGUUGUAAACCUCUUUCAGCAGGGACGAAGCGAAAGUGACGGUACCUGCAGAAGAAGCACCGGCCAACUACGU